UACGGAGGGGGCUAGCGUUGUUCGGAAUUACUGGGCGUAAAGCGCACGUAGGCGGCUUGUUAAGUCAGAGGUGAAAUCCCGGAGCUCAACUUCGGAACUGCCUUUGAUACUGGCAAUCUAGAGUCCGGAAGAGGUUAGUGGAAUUCCCAGUGUAGAGGUGAAAUUCGUAGAUAUUGGGAAGAACACCAGUGGCGAAGGCGGCUAACUGGGCCGGUACUGACGCUGAGGUGCGAAAGCGUGGGGAGCAAACAGG
Molecule: ribosomal RNA, 253 nt
Filed under: uncultured bacterium
Lineage: Bacteria
Description: partial 16S ribosomal RNA
Rfam family: Bacterial small subunit ribosomal RNA
Source: RNAcentral